UACGGGGGGUGCGAGCGUUGUCCGGAAUCACUGGGCGUAAAGGGCGCGUAGGUGGCCUGAUAAGGGUGUGGUGAAAGUCCGGGGCUCAACCCCGGAUCGGCCGUGCCGACUGUUAGGCUAGAGUACUGUAGGGGCAGGCGGAAUUCCGGGUGUAGCGGUGGAAUGCGUAGAGAUCGGGAGGAACACCAGUGGCGAAGGCGGCUACCUGGACCAGCACUGACACUGAGGCACAAAAGCGUGGGGAGCAAACAGG
This 253-nucleotide ribosomal RNA is filed under the name uncultured bacterium. RNAcentral's name for it is "partial 16S ribosomal RNA". It matches the Rfam family "Bacterial small subunit ribosomal RNA", at positions 524 to 776 of the family's 1533-position model. The record is from RNAcentral.